This 406-nucleotide ribosomal RNA is filed under the name uncultured bacterium. RNAcentral describes it as "partial 16S ribosomal RNA". It matches the Rfam family "Bacterial small subunit ribosomal RNA", at positions 30 to 526 of the family's 1533-position model. The record is from RNAcentral.
AUUGAACGCUGGCGGCAUGCUUUACACAUGCAAGUCGGACGUGUCGCGAACGGGUGAGUAACGUAUCGGACCGUACCGUGUAAUGGGGGAUAACUUUCCGAAAGGACAGCUAAUACCGCAUAUUAUUCCAGCGGCCGAUGUCUGAUGAGUUGGUUGGCGGGGUAAAGGCCCACCAAGGCGACGAUCAGUAGCGGGUCUGAGAGGAUGAUCCGCCACACUGGGACUGAGACACGGCCCAGACUCCUACGGGAGGCAGCAGUGGGGAAUUUUGGACAAUGGACGCAAGCCUGAUCCAGCCAUGCCGCGUGUCUGAAGAAGGCCUUCGGGUUGUAAAGGACUUUUGUCAGGGAAGCGGUACCUGAAGAAUAAGCACCGGCUAACUACGUGCCAGCAGCCGCGGUAAUAC